This 229-nucleotide ribosomal RNA is filed under the name uncultured bacterium. RNAcentral describes it as "partial 16S ribosomal RNA". It matches the Rfam family "Bacterial small subunit ribosomal RNA", at positions 568 to 796 of the family's 1533-position model. The record is from RNAcentral.
UCCGCAGGCGGGCAAUUAAGUCAGGGGUGAAAUGGUGCGGCUCAACCGUAGCACUGUCCUUGAUACUGGUUGUCUUGAGUCAUAGUGAAGUGGCCGGAAUAUGUAGUGUAGCGGUGAAAUGCAUAGAUAUUACAUAGAACACCGAUUGCGAAGGCAGGUCACUAACUAUGUACUGACGCUGAUGGACGAAAGCGUGGGGAGCGAACAGGAUUAGAUACCCUGGUAGUCC